This 407-nucleotide ribosomal RNA is filed under the name uncultured bacterium. Its description in RNAcentral is "bacterial SSU rRNA". It matches the Rfam family "Bacterial small subunit ribosomal RNA", at positions 355 to 774 of the family's 1533-position model. The record is from RNAcentral.
UGGGGAAUAUUGCACAAUGGGCGCAAGCCUGAUGCAGCAACGCCGCGUGAGGGACGACGGCCUUCGGGUUGUAAACCUCUUUUGGCAGGGAAGAAGCGAAAGUGACGGUACCUGCAGAAAAAGCACCGGCUAACUACGUGCCAGCAGCCGCGGUGAUACGUAGGGUGCAAGCGUUGUCCGGAAUUAUUGGGCGUAAAGAGCUCGUAGGCGGUUUGUCGCGUCUGCUGUGAAAACCCGAGGCUCAACCUCGGGCCUGCAGUGGGUACGGGCAAACUAGAGUGCGGUAGGGGAGAUUGGAAUUCCUGGUGUAGCGGUGGAAGGCGCAGAUAUCAGGAGGAACACCGAUGGCGAAGGCAGAUCUCUGGGCCGUAACUGACGCUGAGGAGCGAAAGCAUGGGGAGCGAACA